UGGUAGCUCAGUGGUAGAGCACCUGCCUUGCAAGCCAAAGGCCCCCGGUUCAUUCACCGGCAUCUCAG
Molecule: non-coding RNA, 68 nt
Organism: Podarcis lilfordi (Lilford's wall lizard)
Lineage: Eukaryota; Metazoa; Chordata; Lepidosauria; Squamata; Lacertidae
Source: the annotation of a GenBank genome assembly